RNAcentral lists this ribosomal RNA (200 nucleotides) under uncultured prokaryote. Its description in RNAcentral is "partial 16S ribosomal RNA". It matches the Rfam family "Bacterial small subunit ribosomal RNA", at positions 1183 to 1382 of the family's 1533-position model. The record is from RNAcentral.
CGUCAAAUCAGCACGGCCCUUACGUCCGGGGCGACACACGUGUUACAAUGGGAGGUACAGAGGGCUGCUACCCGGCGACGGGAUGCUAAUCUCAAAAACCUUUCUCAGUUCGGAUCGGAGUCUGCAACUCGACUCCGUGAAGUUGGAUUCGCUAGUAAUCGCGCAUCAGCCAUGGCGCGGUGAAUACGUUCCCGGGCCUU